Long non-coding RNA from Alligator mississippiensis (American alligator), 4316 nucleotides. RefSeq lists it as uncharacterized. The record is from RefSeq and is a predicted model, not a curated record. The transcript is spliced from 3 exons. NCBI's taxonomy places the organism in Eukaryota, Metazoa, Chordata, Crocodylia, Alligatoridae.
AGUUUAUAAGUGACUCUAUGGAGACUGGCUUUCUUGCAUGCACACCAGCCUCUGGCUUCUUUACUAGUCAUUCCAUGCAGGAAGAGCGCACACACCAAGCGCGGAUGCUUCCUCAGCCUGACAAAGGGUAUUUGUACCCAAAAGCUUGCAAAGAAGAAUUUUUCCUACUGUUUGAUUUGGUCUAAUAAAAGAGAUCAGAUUUACCCAAAGAACCUCUUCUGUCUAUGGAGACAUGCAACUUAUAACAACACUCGAGGAGUUACUAAUUAACUAUGAAGAGGAAAGUGGAAUUCCAUACGCAUGAAGGGGAAAGUGACUUCAGGCAGGGGGUCAGCAAAGUCAAUGCACCAGGCAUAAAACCCAGGAAAAUCUAUCAGGAAAUCAACUAUUGCUGUCUGGGGCUUAAAGUCUGAUGUUCAGACUGGCCUAUUUUUGUUUGUCUCACCAUUGAGAUCCAACCCUUGCGAUGCUGGUAUGAAGAACGGUUUGCUGGAUGAGAGCCAAAAAGGAGAUGCCUUUGUGCCUCCUUGAUCCUCGGAUGUACUGGGAGCCCUCAGCAUGCUUUGUGAAAAUCUCAGGGUUAUUCUAAUUAGCACGAAAUAGUAAUGGCCCCUGGGGAGGUUUUAUUCUAGCUGGAGAUUGCUGGAGCACAAAGAUAUUCUGAUCAUAUUCCUUUCCCUUCAUUAUGUCCAGUACAUUAUAGAUCGUGGGAGAUGGGUGGCAUAAAGCCAGCUCUCUGUCACUAAGGGAAGUCCCCCAGUGGGUAUUACAAUUGCAGUGCACUGUUGGAACAACGUAAAGAGGCCAGGAUCUGAUCUGAUCUGACGUGUAAGUGCAAACAUACUUUAUAUAGUCAUUAUAACAUAGUAAAAAACCUGCUGUGGAAUAGCAGGGCUUAUAAACCUGCACCAGGCAUACUGCAGCAUCAGACUUUUAGAGAGAUAAGUCUCGUUCAUUCACGGUUACCCUUUCCAUUUCUCACCUUUCUAAUUCCCACAAACGCUUCUGUUCACAAACGUCUCAAUGCUGCAGCACUGACAACACGCUGAAUUACUCUAGUGCGCUUUGCAGAGAGAGGGCACGGAUGAGUAGACAAACCCUCUAAGUACAAAACCAGGGGAACAGAUGGUUGCGACAAGGCACUUAUUUUUGCACAAUAAGUGUUAGUGGACUCCCCCGAGAUCUGACGUAUGCUGGAGAAGCUGCUAAAUGGCCACAGUGAGUCAGCUGCAGCACUGAUAAGAAAUAAAACUUUUCUUAUUCAUAUGUGCAAGCCAAGUCCUUCUGUUUUAUUCCACGCUUAACCCUUCGGUGGAAUUCCUUGCUGAUGGGGGCUCAGAUAGCUGCUUUCCUGGGUCAUAGGAAAGCCAACAGAACUCCCCUUGGACCUUGGUUGAGUCAUAGGAAAUAGUGUUUAGCUAGGUAGGGGGAUACUUGCUCAGACGUACAGAACCACAUAGCUGGUGCUGUAGUGGGGUAGACCAGUAGGCCAUCUUGUUCUACAUCAAGUCUCUAACAGUGGCCAGUACUAGCUGUUUAAGAUGAGGAUGAAAGAAGAAAUCCUACAGUAGGCAGUUGCUGUCUACAGUUAUCACUUGUCCGCAUAGAAAGUUUCCUGGCAGCUCCAAAAAGUGAGAGGUUAGAGUAAUUUUGGAGCAUGAAGUUGUAUGUCUCUUCCAAAGUGCCGCUGUUGGGGUUCCUCUGAGCAUUCGGUUCCUCCGUGAAUGCGGUGUUGGUUACAGUGCUCACCUUCAAGGGAACAAAGGAAGUUGUCCUUCCUGUUGUGUGUUAACAGGGACAUUUGUGUGUGAACAGGGACAUCAGCCUUUAUCUUGCACCUCUGGUGUCAAGAAGAGGUUCGCCAUUGAGUUCAGGAUGCAGAGGGCUAGCUUUCCUUUUAAGCAUCCUAUAGAACAACGUGAGCACAAACCACUUCAUCCUUGCAGAUGGAUUGAGCUAGGUGGGGAGAAGCUGAGCUCUUUUAAAAUCAAGGGCUCUACAUUUAUCUUGCAGGCAGGUGCUGUGUAUACUUUCGCCCAAUCCCUCCACUGGUGACAUGGUAGGUUGAAUCAUUCAUUCACAGCAACUGAGAGGUGUGUGGCUUUAAAAUGUAGUCCUCUCAUAAACGGUGAUGAAUGGCUGUCCUAGGGCACAUCUACACUUCCUCCGUGCUUAGCCUAGGAAUGCUGCAGUGAAGCACGACUCACUCGACUGUGCUCCAAUUGCCCCCGCGCCGUUCUUAAGCUCCCCGUCUCAGUCAUGCUUAAAGCCACCCAGUCACCACUGCUGCAAGGUGACUACGCUGCCUCAUUUCCAGGAUUUGGUAUGUGCAAAGCCAGACACUGCACAAAGGUAGGACAGGCAUGCUCUUGCAGAGCUCUAGUGUGGAUAACAUUUGGUUGCUUCCCUAAAACCCUUGGGUCUGCAGUGUCAACCUGGAAAUCUUGUCUGGACAAGACUGGGCGAGAUUUCUGGCAUCCGCUUCAGGUUAAGGUUUGGCUAGGUCUCUCUUAUCAGAUCUUGACACUUCUGGUCCCAGCUUCACUCAGGAACUGCUGGACAUCUGAAAACACCCUAAUUAAAAAAUCAGCCCUCUUCCAAAUUUCUGAGAAUGUUGGUCUGUUGGAAGAAGAUUGCCUUUAAAAAUAAGAUUUAUCCAAAUUGCUUUGUGUAUCCCUAUCUGUGACGUCCGCUCACAGCAGCAAAAGUGGCCUCUGACUGGGUGAAGAGCAAAACUAUAAGUCUGCCGGACAGGAAACAAUUAGCAUGUGGCUGAGGAACAUAUUGGCAGUUAGAUACUACCUCAGCCUCGUUGAAGAACAAUAAGUCACCCAGCAGUGUUAGAGACUCAGUCCUGGUCUACACUGGAAACUUGGCUCAUGCAGUACCAUUGAUCAGAGGGAUGUUUCAUUUUACAAUAUGCACAUAGCGGCAAAAGCUGUACAUUAGAUACGUGCAUAUCAGCAAAAAAGUUCCUUUGGGCUGGUUAAUGUUGCAUCGACACUAGAAAAUUUAACUGGCACGGCAAUACACCAGCCAACAUUUUCAAGCGUAGGUAAGGCCUGGUAUAUGUGUGGACUUAGGAAGCCUGCAGAAUUCAAACCUUUUAUCAUUUCACGUUGUCAAGUUUGUGUGCCCUUCAAACUUUCUUCGCAACUCUUGGUUGACUGGAUGACUACUCUAGACUUGGUGUUCAAGGUGCUCUAAAGCCAGCUCUAAAGCUCAUAUCAGCGACACUCAAAAAUGGAAAUGAGAUGACCUGUUUGACAUUUACAGUAAUUAAUCAUUGGAAGAGAUUGCUGAAAAGAUGUAAAUUCUCCACCUUUUUUUGUCAUUAAAUGUAGUCCAGACGCCUUUCUAAGAAAUGCUCUAAUUCGACUGCAUGCUAUAGGAGUAGAACCACACUAGACGUGCAUUCUGGCUUUAAAAUCUAUGAAUGCUACUCAAAAAUCAGCUACUAAUUUUUAGGACCAGAUCCCGAUUCUAUUAGUAGUCCUGCUGAAUAUAAUCAUUGUCCCUUUGAUUACAAUGUGAGUAUGGGUAUAAUGAUGAAUGAAUGAAAAUAAAGCUAAAAUAAAUUUACAGAAAGAUGUAAGACAGGAAAGGGAUAACAAACGGAUAAAGACAAGAGAGGUCAUCUUUGGGGGGAGGCUGGGGAGAAACAAGGCAUCUCAUUUCCUUGCUAUUUUCCUAAGAAAUUCACUCUCAUUAUCUCUCGUUGAAGGUCAUGUCUAACAAAAUAAGAGAGUCGAGAAGUGAGGUAAUGAUUUUCAAUUUCUGUCACAUUACAAGAAUGAAACACCCUGCUCUGUUUCAUUAGGGCUCCAGGUGACUUGUCACCGGAAUACUUAGCCUCCAUUAAAACUAACUCAAAAAUACAAUGAGAUCAGACUUUCAAGUCACCAAAGAAAACUACUUCUGACAGACCAUGACACAGUGGAUUAUUUUGUACAGUCUCUUUAAGCGCAACUGGCUGCUAUGGGAAUGCACUCCACCCCGAUUUCUGCCAGGCCUGGUACAAUACGAUAAUAUAAAUCCCCUGGUGUUUUUCUUUGAGGAAGAUGCUAUAUUGUUGUCUUUUCCUUUUUCUCAGUAGUGACUGUGGAUGUUUUCUGUCCAAAGGUUGGUAAAUGGGAAUUACACCUCAUAACGCUCCUGUUUCUGUAGACACAGAACCAGUACCUGCCCCACAGUACAUUACUCUCCUGGUUAACGGGAUUAUUUUAGGUGCAAGGUCCUACUCUACAGUAGGACCUUUCUAACAUUGUAUUUUCUGUAACCUAGUUGCAUUCCCCUCCUUACCCCCAUCCCUCCUA